GCGGAGCUUGCGUCCGGCUGACGAGUGGCGCACGGGUGCGUAACGCGUAUACAAUCUACCUUUUACAGGGGUAUAGCCUUUACAAAUGAAGAAUAAUCCCCCAUAAUAUCUUAUUAGUGGCAUCAUUAAAAGAUUAAAGCUUCGGGGGUAAGAGAUGAGUAUGCGUUCUAUUAGCUAGUAGGUGAGGUAACGGCUCACCUAGGCGACAAUAGAUAGGGGCCCUGAGAGGGGGAUCCCCCCCCCUGGUACUGAGACACGGACCAAACUCCUACGGGAGGCAGCAGUGAGGAAUAUUGGACAGUGGGGGCAAGCCUGAUCCUCCCAUCGCCGCGUGCAGGAAGACUGCCCUAUGGGUUGUAAGCUGCUUUUAUAUAGAGAAGAAACCAUUCCACGUGUAGAGUGCUGACGGUACUAUAAAAAUAAGCAUCGGC
This 431-nucleotide ribosomal RNA is filed under the name uncultured bacterium. Its description in RNAcentral is "partial 16S ribosomal RNA". It matches the Rfam family "Bacterial small subunit ribosomal RNA", at positions 72 to 497 of the family's 1533-position model. The record is from RNAcentral.